AAGCUCAGCGAAUGCCUCUGGGUCGUCAGCAAGACCCAAUGGGUCGAAGCUGCCACCUGGGUACAAGGGGUCGGUUACCUCACCGAGAGGCCCGCCAGCAAUACGGUAACCCUCAACAGCUCCCAUCAAGAUAACUUGGCAAGCCCAGAUGGCCAAGAUGCUUUGAGCGUGUAUCAAGCUUGGGUUUCCCAAGUAGUCAAGCCCACCUUCGCUGAAGAUCUGAGAUCCGGCCUUGAACCACACGGCCUCACCGAAUUUGACUCCAUUCCUAGCCAAAAGCUCAGGGAAAACACACCCAAGAGCACCCAACAUAGCCCACCUACAGUGGAUGACUUCGAGCUCACGGUUCCUGGCAAAUGUCUCUGGGUCAGCCGAGAGUCCAGCAGUGUCCCAACCGUAGUCACCAGGGAAUUCUCCGGUCAAGUAAGAUGGAGGCUCACCAGAUAGUGGACCCAAGUACAAAACUCGGUCAGGACCGUACCAUGGACUUCCGGAGGGAGCAGCCUUGGUAGCGGUUUUCCUCAUGGAAACACGGCCAUUGCCUUGGAUUUUAGGGGCGGAAGGAGAGAGCUUGACGGCCUUUCCGGCGAAAGAUGGGGAAGAGAGAGCCAUGGUUGCAGCUGCCAUUCUGAAGGGGAAAGAUGAUCUCGUGUGAUGGGAGUUCGUGGUAUAAGUUUUGAGAGUGAUGGAAAGGAGGCAAUGCGCAGGGAUUAUAUAGGGAGCUGUGGGCGAGGUUCCUCAAUCCUUAUCUAGGCCAGUAUCUAUAUCUCUCAUUUCAUUGGGGGCUCAAGAUUUCGAUAUUUUCUUUGGAUUUUCCACUUGGCACUCUUUCCAUCCACAAAAACACUAAACGGGCAGUAGCCGAUGCCAGUAUCUAUCUUUUUUUUUUUAAUUCUCAUUUUGUCUUUGAAAUUUGAAUGCACAGUUGGAGAUUUUGACACUCAUUAUAAUUAAAUAUUGACAACCACAAAUUAUUAGGACAAUAAACGAGUUUUGAAAGAGAGAAACUUGUUGAGCCCAUAUGCAGUAGAGUUGUUCUUCAAGUUAUGAUGUUGAAAUGGUGGCAGCAAAAUACAAGUUACUGAGUUUGAGUGGCUGUUAAGAUAUGCAUGUAAAAUAUCUACAUAGGGAAAAAUAUCUUGCGUUGCAACAGUAGCACCAUGAAAAAUACUUGAAAUAGAUAAAAUCUGUACAAACUUUAUUAACCAAAUUCACCCCCCUCCCCAAUAGGCUAAAUUUAGUAUAUAUUUUGCUCCUCCUCUGUGUUAAGUAUGGAGACAGAGUUCCUUCUGUCAAGCAGGAACAGAUAAACAAUUUACGGUUGAUAAGAAGCUAAUCAGCCAUUUAAAAAGCUUCCAAAUCUUAGUUUUGAUCAUUGUUAUUUCUUUUUCUAAUUUUGUGUUGUUUUUAUAGUUGAAGUUUUCGACAUAUAGUUGAAGCAUUAAAGGUAUUCUGUAAAAUAAAGGCAACAUUAUAUAGACUGUGAAAUGGAAAUAUAUGUUUCUAAAUGCAGACUGUUAGUAUUAUUAAUGUAAUAACGAGCUUAGCCUCGGAACAAUUUUCUCAGGAAAAAGUUAGGAUUUUUCCUAUUUUGGUACAACUCAAAAGCGUUAUCUUAUGACUAUCAAUGUCUGAAUUCCUAUUGGUUUGUAACAUUAGGGAUGUCUGAUUUUGCAAUGUCUAGUUGGAAUAAUUUUGGUGAAGCUGAUCUAUCGAAAAUCUGAAGCAAUUUUUGAAGUGCUAUUUGUUGCUCCAAUGAGAUAAUGCCACUUGUUAUGGUCGGAUAUAUAUUCCCCAAUACCAUAUCUGCUUGGAACAAACAUUAUUUUAUUUGUUGACACAAACAGAAUCAUGGAUUUAAAAAGAAAAAGGAACUUAAGGGUAAAAAAGAAUUAAUUAAGUUUUUUCAUGAGCAUUCAAAAUUUUAAAUUGUAUUAAUUAAGCCUUUUUACUAAUAUUCUUUUUGUUUUUAACCAUUACUGUUAAUGAUAAUAAUUUCUAACAUGUUAUUGUCACGUCAGUAAAAAAUUAAAAAAUUUCAAAAAAAUUAUUUGCACUUUUUAUAUCUGGAAUAAAUUUGGAAAAAUAAAUAAUUAUUUGUGUAGAUUCAUCUUGGAUUUAAUCUUUUAAAAAAAUUUUAAAUUUUAAAAUUAAUAAAAAUGCUUAAUAAAAUUCAAAAUAGAAAAUUAUUUAAAUGUUUAAGUCCAAAAUUAUAUAAAGUUUUAAAAAUAUUAAAUUUUCUUAAAAAUAUAAAAAUGUGUAUCAAUGUUUUAAUUUUACUCUAACUUUUAGACUAUUAAAAAAAAUAAAAAGAAUAGAACAUAAAUAUAUAUAAUUUUUUUGAAAUAAAAUUGACUGGGUUUUUUAUUUGAAAAGAAAAAAUAAGUGAGGCCCAACAAAUCAUUGGACUCAGGCCUACUACAUCAAAAAAAACUAGAACAAAGAUCCGGCCUCACUAUAAAUCUAAUAGUGAAAACCUCCUUAAAAAAAACAUUAAAGAAAAACAAACUUGAUGAGAACGAAAAGCAAUAAAUGAGACUGAAAAAAACAUGAAACCUAAUUUUCUACCCCAGUAAACUCAAACGGUUGGAAUCCAUUAAUAUGCUCGACUUUUCAUUUCAAAAUCCCAUCCGUUCUGAUGAUAGCGAUUUCCAAUGAACUAAACUUUAUUUGCUAUCUAGUUUUUGAAAUUCAUAUUUCUCAAAAAGCUCCUUUAGUCUGGGCAUCUUGACCAUCACCCCUCCGAAACGAAAGUUUGACUGUUCAGUCCUUCUCCCAUCAGGUACAAAAUCUUUCCUCUUUCAAGCAUGUUCUUUGCGAUUCUAUGUGCUUGCAAGUUUCCUUCUCUGUGAAUAUGUUGAAAGUUAACUUCUUGAAAACAAGGUUUCAUAUUCUGGAUGUCUCUGAUAAUCGUUCCGAUUACUGAUUUGUCUGUUGAUGUCGUUUGGCACUUUUUUAUUAUUGUUUUGGAAUUCCCCAUGACUUUAACGGAUUGCAUGCCCAUUAGAUCCCUAACUUUAUGGCUUUUAAACAUGCAUAUACUUCUGUUGCAAACGGGAAGGAGACGUUGUUGUGGAGGGUCAACUUUGAGACCAGAAGUUCACCCCUCAGGCUCUAAACCACCAGACCUGUCGCUGCUUGAAGUUGCUAUUAUCAAAAGCUGUAUCAAACUGAAUCGUUAUUCUCGGUAUGUCUUCUUGAUUUUUGUGUCUUUUAUUCGUAUUUAAAGGAAUCUUCAUUGCUCUCACUACUUCAUGUUCCUCCAUAUACCUCUGUAUUCUUUGUGUAAGAUAUCUUCUUAUUGUGUUUUUUCUUUCAUGAAUAAACUGGUUCCUGGAAAACCAGAUUAACCACAAAGCAUAACAGAAAAGUCGACAUUGUUCGUCGGUGCCUCUCCUAAAAACCCAAGUUAGCCAUUCUCAGAUAUUUUGAUUCAUAUUAUUUAUGACCCAGGAAAGAUGUAAAAUCUGCCCAACUUCUGUUGAUAUAGGGCAUUGAUGAAAGAUGUGAGGACUGUUUUCGACCCAGGAACAGCAAUGGGGGCAUCUGUCGUUUUAGUGAUUCUUUUGUAUAUGAGAUUAGCUAGAUUAGGAAUGAAAUCCCAGGAAAUUUGCCAAACAGUAAUUGUAAUUUUUGAAGGUAGCUAUAGGUUCCAUAGUUUCCUGUAAAAUUCUUUGAUUUUGGCUUGUAUUAAAUUAUUACUAGGAUCCGUAGUAGUAUCUUGUAAUAGUUUAUAGGCACUGCGUACUGAAAAUUCGCCGGACGGUUCUCCUUUCCAAACUUGAAUAUCUUCGUGGCUUGUCUCUGUAAGAGGGAUCCUUAUGAUUUUCUGAGCAAUAUCCGCUUGAAAGGCAUUAUUAAUCAAAUCUGACCUCUAUUUUUUGUUUGUAGUAUCAAUAAGAUAUGAGACUAAUUUUAGCUCCUCAUUGUUUGAUCUGUUUUGCCCUUCAAUUUUCUCGAUCCCCUGAAUCCAACUAUCAUUUUAGAUUGAAACCUUAUCCACCCUACCCACUCUCCAACACAACCCAUUUUGAAGAAGGCCCUUUGCUGCCCAAAUACUCUUCCAGUUGAGUGAAGGAAAAUUUCCUAACUCUGCG
This 4097-nucleotide long non-coding RNA is filed under the name Gossypium barbadense (sea-island cotton). RNAcentral describes it as "long non-coding RNA (GBAR_LNC003793)". The record is from RNAcentral. Lineage: Eukaryota; Viridiplantae; Streptophyta; Magnoliopsida; Malvales; Malvaceae.